GUUACUGCUAUCGGUGUUCGCCUAAGCCGUGCGAGUCAUAUGUUCUUCGGAACAUGGCGUACUGCUCAGUAACACGUGGAUAACCUGCCCUUGGGUCCGGCAUAACCCCGGGAAACUGGGGAUAAUUCCGGAUAACGCACAUAUGCUGGAAUGCUUUAUGCGUCAAAUGGAUUCGUCCGCCCAAGGAUGGGUCUGCGGCCUAUCAGGUAGUAGUGGGUGUAAUGUACCUACUAGCCUGCGACGGGUACGGGUUGUGAGAGCAAGAGCCCGGAGAUGGAUUCUGAGACAUGAAUCCAGGCCCUACGGGGCGCAGCAGGCGCGAAAACUUUACAAUGCGGGAAACCGUGAUAAGGGGACACCGAGUGCCAGCAUCAUAUGUUGGCUGUCCGGGUGUGUAAAAUACACCUGUUAGCAAGGGCCGGGCAAGACCGGUGCCAGCCGCCGCGGUAA
Molecule: ribosomal RNA, 450 nt
Filed under: uncultured archaeon
Lineage: Archaea
Description: bacterial SSU rRNA
Rfam family: Archaeal small subunit ribosomal RNA
Source: RNAcentral